Ipomoea nil (Japanese morning glory) is the source of this 160-nucleotide long non-coding RNA. RefSeq lists it as uncharacterized. The record is from RefSeq and is a predicted model, not a curated record. The transcript has 3 exons. NCBI's taxonomy places the organism in Eukaryota, Viridiplantae, Streptophyta, Magnoliopsida, Solanales, Convolvulaceae.
AUAAUAAUAAUAUGACAAAAACUUGUGUGAGACCGUCUCAUAGGUCUCAAUCCAUGAGGCGAGUCGGAUCUUUGAUUAAUGAGAUAAAAAAUUUGACCCAUUAAUCAAAGACCCGACCCAUAUCACGUAUUGAGACUCGUGAGACGGUCUCACACAAGUG